AUGGAGAUGGUGUCAGUGUUCUCCACUAGCAAGAAAAUGGGAGCGAGUGAGGGGGCACUUACACCAGGGGAGGAUCUUCCAGCGCUGGUUGUCGCCCUCACACCACUUCCACAGCACGAGGGAGGUGCCGUCGCGCACGCCGCCGUGCUCCUUGUCGCCGUGGAGAGCGUCAAAGUUGAGGCGGAUGUUGUUCACCAUGCGAAUGCAGCGGAAGCCCUUGCCGACGUCGCCGCUCUCCGUCCACAUCACGGACUCGUCGAGGUACUCCGGGUUGAAUGGCACGAGCUUCACCUGCACACCCAAACAAAUCAUUCCACUUCCAUUACUGAUAAUAAGCACUAA
This 342-nucleotide ribosomal RNA is filed under the name Triticum aestivum (bread wheat). RNAcentral's name for it is "partial small subunit ribosomal RNA". Lineage: Eukaryota; Viridiplantae; Streptophyta; Magnoliopsida; Poales; Poaceae. The record is from RNAcentral.